AUUGAACGCUGGCGGCAGGCUUAACACAUGCAAGUCGAGCGGGGGAAGGUAGCUUGCUACCGGACCUAGCGGCGGACGGGUGAGUAAUGCUUAGGAAUCUGCCUAUUAGUGGGGGACAACAUCUCGAAAGGGAUGCUAAUACCGCAUACGUCCUACGGGAGAAAGCAGGGGAUCUUCGGACCUUGCGCUAAUAGAUGAGCCUAAGUCGGAUUAGCUAGUUGGUGGGGUAAAGGCCUACCAAGGCGACGAUCUGUAGCGGGUCUGAGAGGAUGAUCCGCCACACUGGGACUGAGACACGGCCCAGACUCCUACGGGAGGCAGCAGUGGGGAAUAUUGGACAAUGGGGGGAACCCUGAUCCAGCCAUGCCGCGUGUGUGAAGAAGGCCUUAUGGUUGUAAAGCACUUUAAGCGAGGAGGAGGCUACUUUAGUUAAUACCUAGAGAUAGUGGACGUUACUCGCAGAAUAAGCACCGGCUAACUCUGUGCCGGCGGCCGCGGUAAUACAGAGGGUGCGAGCGUUAAUCGGAUUUACUGGGCGUAAAGCGUGCGUAGGCGGCUUAUUAAGUCGGAUGUGAAAUCCCCGAGCUUAACUUGGGAAUUGCAUUCGAUACUGGUGAGCUAGAGUAUGGGAGAGGAUGGUAGAAUUCCAGGUGUAGCGGUGAAAUGCGUAGAGAUCUGGAGGAAUACCGAUGGC
RNAcentral lists this ribosomal RNA (694 nucleotides) under Acinetobacter baumannii OIFC143. RNAcentral describes it as "bacterial SSU rRNA". It matches the Rfam family "Bacterial small subunit ribosomal RNA", at positions 28 to 716 of the family's 1533-position model. Lineage: Bacteria; Pseudomonadati; Pseudomonadota; Gammaproteobacteria; Moraxellales; Moraxellaceae. The record is from RNAcentral.